CUCCCAUGAUGAUUCCGCCAUGCUAAUACUGAUGUGCCAGGCAGCUUGUCUGGGCGCAAGUGCGUUCAACUCGACUUCUCACGCUGAUCGCUUCAGCGUGUGCUGAGGAGA
Doryrhamphus excisus (bluestripe pipefish) is the source of this 111-nucleotide non-coding RNA. The record is from RefSeq and is a predicted model, not a curated record. Lineage: Eukaryota; Metazoa; Chordata; Actinopteri; Syngnathiformes; Syngnathidae.